AGUUGUUGUGUCAUAAAAUCUUCUUGGACUUAUUUUAUAACCCGCCUAUUUGAAGGGUUUCGCAAGGCCUUUGUAUAGCCAGGGCUCCAUGCCUACAUUUCAUAGCUUUCUAGGGCUACUCUUAGUUAGAACUCGCCUAGAAGAAGUCCAGAUUACAAGGCUGCUAGCAAUUGAUUGGACUACGACUGCUAGGGUCGUUUAUGAAGGGUCAUAGGCUGAUAAUGAAGGUCUUAGGAAGGUUGUUGCUGGGGUAAAAGACUAUUUGGAUAUGUUACACAGACUACCUUCAAUUGGGGUUCUCAAUCAUUAUGUGAAACCUGAAUUGCAAUUGCCAGGGGCCCAGUGCUUCAGCUAAGGGCUUAGGUUGGAAGGCAGACUCCUAGCAGGACCGUUCUUUCUUAUUUUUAGAAGAAAGAAUUGGAGAUGGAUUUGGAAUGUUCUAUCUACUUUUUAUCAAAUAAAAUUAAAGGAUAUAUAUCACUAUUUUGGAGAUAAUUCACACAUAUAUACGAGAGCGGGCUCUAGCCGUGUGUGAAAAAACAAACUCUCUCGCCUCCCUCCUCCGUUCCCCGUUGUCUCUCGCAGAUAAUCUUUGAAGGAUAUCUUUAAAGGACGGAUCAUAUUUGAAAAUGACUCAUUUUGUGUGAACAUACUCCACAAAAUUAAGGUGCA
RNAcentral lists this long non-coding RNA (672 nucleotides) under Daucus carota (carrot). RNAcentral's name for it is "long non-coding RNA (DCAR_LNC000305)". Lineage: Eukaryota; Viridiplantae; Streptophyta; Magnoliopsida; Apiales; Apiaceae. The record is from RNAcentral.